RNAcentral lists this ribosomal RNA (207 nucleotides) under uncultured bacterium. RNAcentral describes it as "partial 16S ribosomal RNA". It matches the Rfam family "Bacterial small subunit ribosomal RNA", at positions 568 to 774 of the family's 1533-position model. The record is from RNAcentral.
AGCGUAGGCGGGUUAUCAAGUUGGAGGUGAAAGCCCAGGGCUCAACCUUGGAAUUGCCUUCAAAACUGAUAGCCUAGAGUAUGAUAGAGGUAAGUGGAACUCCGAGUGUAGAGGUGAAAUUCGUAGAUAUUCGGAAGAACACCAGUGGCGAAGGCGACUUACUGGAUCAUGACUGACGCUGAGGCUCGAAAGCGUGGGGAGCAAACA